GGUGUGAUGACGAGGCACUACGGUGCUGAAGUAACAAAUGCCCUGCUUCCAGGAAAAGCCUCUAAGCAUCAGGUAACAUUGAAUCGUACCCCAAACCGACACAGGUGGUCAGGUAGAGAAUACCAAGCGCUUGAGAGAACUCGGGUGAAGGAACUAGGCAAAAUGGUGCCGUAACUUCGGGAGAAGGCACGCUGAUAUGUAGGUGAAGCCCCUGCGGGUGGAGCUGAAAUCAGUCGAAGAUACCAGCUGGCUG
This 253-nucleotide ribosomal RNA is filed under the name Klebsiella aerogenes. RNAcentral's name for it is "partial 23S ribosomal RNA". It matches the Rfam family "Bacterial large subunit ribosomal RNA", at positions 1560 to 1796 of the family's 2925-position model. The record is from RNAcentral. Lineage: Bacteria; Pseudomonadati; Pseudomonadota; Gammaproteobacteria; Enterobacterales; Enterobacteriaceae.